GAGGUUUCUGAUGUGCAUGCACAGUGCAAACACAAUCCUGUAAUGCCCUUAAGAAAUCUCA
RNAcentral lists this microRNA precursor (61 nucleotides) under Panagrellus redivivus. Its description in RNAcentral is "microRNA prd-mir-7934 precursor". The record is from miRBase by way of RNAcentral. Lineage: Eukaryota; Metazoa; Nematoda; Chromadorea; Rhabditida; Panagrolaimidae.